CCCGCUGAACUUAAGCAUAUCAGUAAGCAGAGGAAAAGAAACUAACAAGGAUUCCCGUAGUAACGGCGAGUGAACUGGGAUCAGUCCAGCGCUGAAUCUCCGAGCCUUGCGCUCGGCGAACUGUAGCGUAUAGCCGGUUGGCUCCCCGCGGCGCUCCCGCCUCAAAUCUCCCUUGACUGGGGUUCCACAGAAGGUGCAAGGCCUGUCGUGGUGGCGGCGUCCGGGGAUCCGUCUGGUUUGGAGUCGGGUUGUUUGGGAACGCAGCCCAAAGCAGGUGGUAAACUUCAUCUAAGACUAAAUACGACUACGAAUCCGAUAGCAAACAAGUACUGUGAAGGAAAGUUGCAAAGCACUUUGAAGAGAGAGUUAAAGAGGACGUGAAACCGGUAAGGUGGAAACGGAUAGAGCCAACGUAUCUAGCUCGUAUUCAGCUGCCUGGGCAGUCCAUGGAUCGGCGUCGGACCCGCUUCUGGUCGGCGUUGGUCCGGGCGGCUGGCCGGGUAGUGCAUUUGCGAGUGGAGUGCGCUGAGCGGUGCGGGGCAGCGGUCGGGUGCGCGGAAAGAGGCUCCUCCUCGGAGGAGAACCCUCCCGCGUGGAAGACUGUUUGCUUUGCAUUUUGGUGGGUGACGGCCCACGAGCUGCUCGGCUCUCACGGCUUCGGCUCGCGGCGGUCGCAUGCGACACGUGCUUGCCAGGGUUGUGCUUGUCGGGGAGCUCCCGUCGCCCGGCUCGGUGUCAGAGUUGGUCAUCUCUCCGACCCGUCUUGAAACACGG
Molecule: ribosomal RNA, 774 nt
Filed under: uncultured fungus
Lineage: Eukaryota; Fungi
Description: eukaryotic LSU rRNA
Rfam family: Eukaryotic large subunit ribosomal RNA
Source: RNAcentral